RNAcentral lists this ribosomal RNA (482 nucleotides) under bacterium fme09x26p97. Its description in RNAcentral is "bacterial SSU rRNA". It matches the Rfam family "Bacterial small subunit ribosomal RNA", at positions 48 to 512 of the family's 1533-position model. The record is from RNAcentral.
GCUAUACAUGCAGUCGAGCGGACUUGAAGAGAAGCUUGCUUCUCUGAUGGUUAGCGGCGGACGGGUGAGUAACACGUAGGCAACCUGCCCUCAAGUUUGGGACAACUACCGGAAACGGUAGCUAAUACCGAAUAAUUGUUUUCUUCGCCUGAAGGAAACUGGAAAGACGGAGCAAUCUGUCACUUGGGGAUGGGCCUGCGGCGCAUUAGCUAGUUGGUGAGGUAACGGCUCACCAAGGCGACGAUGCGUAGCCGACCUGAGAGGGUGAUCGGCCACACUGGGACUGAGACACGGCCCAGACUCCUACGGGAGGCAGCAGUAGGGAAUCUUCCGCAAUGGGCGAAAGCCUGACGGAGCAAUGCCGCGUGAGUGAUGAAGGUUUUCGGAUCGUAAAGCUCUGUUGCCAGGAAGAACGCUUGNAGAGUAACUGCUCUCAAGGUGACGGUACCUGAGAAGAAAGCCCCGGCUAACUACGUGCCAGC